RNAcentral lists this long non-coding RNA (350 nucleotides) under Phoenix dactylifera (date palm). RNAcentral describes it as "long non-coding RNA (PDAC_LNC013275)". Lineage: Eukaryota; Viridiplantae; Streptophyta; Magnoliopsida; Arecales; Arecaceae. The record is from RNAcentral.
AUCUACCCGACUCACAUUCACAUCACAUGCAAACGGCACAUUGCAAGCAGUUAUAAUCGCAGCAAUAAUUAAAGCUAAACUUUAAAUAGGUGAUGAUCAUGGAUUCUAAUUAGGUCGUAUUACAAGCACAUGCACGUCAAUCGAUCAACUGAUCUUCAACUCUUGAAUUGGUUCCAAGCUUCCUUGACUCGAUCCUUGACCAACUCUUGAUCCAAUCGCUAUCAACCGCUUAGAGCCCUGUUCAUCUCAUGCAUCAUCUUCGACUUGAUCGUUGACGUACAUCACAUCACAGAAAAUACAACCAGAUAUAAAAUAAAAAUAAAAAUAAAUUACAUCCCCUUUUAGGAGGC